RNAcentral lists this long non-coding RNA (3901 nucleotides) under Olea europaea subsp. europaea. The record is from RNAcentral. Lineage: Eukaryota; Viridiplantae; Streptophyta; Magnoliopsida; Lamiales; Oleaceae.
GUUGAAUUGAUCGUGGCUGCUACCCAUUUUCUCUCCUUUUCUUUUGUGUUCUUCCUUCUUCUGUGUUCUGCGUUAUCCCCUCUAUGGUAAGCUUCUUCUCCUGCUUACUCUUCUUCUCGAUUCUUCCUCUGCUCUUCUUCUACUCUUAAUCUUCUCUCCAAUUCUCUGUCUCUUCUUCCUCACCUAAAAUUGUUACUUGUAAUCCAUUGCAUUGUAAGACAAUCAUCAAUUAAGGGAAUGAAUGUGUCGAUUUUGGUUGGCGAUUAACUAGUUCUUGUUAGUAAUUCAAUUUAUGUUCCUCAAUUUGGCUGAUUGCAAUUUAUAUUCAGAAUCUUGUGUUUUUAUUGUUAGUUAUUUCAGGUUGUGUUCUUUAAUUUGGAUAAUUACAAUAUCUUGAAUUUAUAGCUGCUAGUUAUUUGGUUUAGCUUGGUUGGAAAAUUAAUUGGUUUUAGUUGAAGUUGGGCUCCAACCAUAACAUUUAUGCGAUGAAACCCUUGUUCUUUUUGUGAUUUCUCUAGACGUUUUGAAUAAUUGAUUUCCAUUGUUUGUGAACCCUCAUUCUCUACGUGAUUUUUGUCGAUGCCAUUAUACUCACUACAAAUUGAGGACAAAUCUGUUUGACACAUAAAUUUUGAGAUCUGUUUUCUAAGUUGAUUUACGUUUUUCUUCUCUUCUUUUAUAACUCCUGGGUUAUUUGAGCUUAUUGCCUUUUUUGCCUUCUUUCAGCUCUUCAUUAUUGGGUUAAAUUAUGGUUUUCAAAGAAUUAGUUCUUCUACCCAAAAGUAGAAUCUCCUUCUUUAUGCAGUCCAAACUCGUAUUCUCGAGUUUUGAAGAUUUUACUUAUUCUAUUAAUACUUAGUGGGAUGAAAGCAAUUGAAGUUUUCAAUGUAGUAUAGAGCCAAAUUGAUGCCUUUAAUCAGUUUUAAAGUCUUGUAAUUUAACAGAUUAAAUACAUAACCGUUACUGAAAAUUUGUUGCCUUAUCUCCUAGGCAAGACCCUGGUUUUGGCAGAAUCUUAAUUGAAUCACUUAAUGGAAAUUGGAUUCUAAUUGAUUAAGAAGAGGUAUGGUCAUGUUUGUUUACCCUUUCUUUCAUUUCUUUCUUUUCUGGCCCUAUAUAUGUGUGUGUGUGUGUGUGUGUGUGUGUGUGUGUGUGUGUGUGUGUGUAUUUGUAUGCCUUUCCUCAUUUUGUGGCCUUCAUAUAUUCACUCAUUUCCUUCAUGUAGGAAUUUGAUAUUCUUUUCACAUCGUCCUUUGACAUGCGCAGCAUGAAUGGUGGAUUGUAAUGGGAUGUGAUCCAAAAAAUACUAGAUAGAGCUACCACAAUGGAGGAUCAUAGCCAGGUAUCUUUUAGAUUAUUUUGGUGCAAUGAACUAGCCUGCAAACUGUAACAUGGGAAAACUAUUUGGCCUCUUUUCAAGGAGAAAGAUAAAUAAAUGGAAACUUAAUAAUUGCAAUUGUUUACUUUUAGUUGUUUUUAUUUCUAUGUUAUUUGAGAAAUCAUUGAUAUUAAGCCGUACAACAGCAUAAUUGAUUGCUGAAGAUUUUUUAGUGUUAGUUCCCUUACUUUGAGUAAUAAGAGCCAUCACUAUAGAGGAUUCUCAAUAAUAUUUGAAGACUGAUACGUUUCUAAUUCAGUUUUUACUAAGCAAACUAUAUUUACUACAUAUCUUGAAGUUUUCCAAAUGAUUCUUAGAAUAAUUUCAAUCUCUUUCUUCUAUUGUGUUAAGCUCUUUUUUAUAUUUAGGGUCUGUUUGAUUGCAAAAAUAGAAAAGGCAAACCAAUUCGAUGUAAGUUGUAAAAGAAAAUUACACCAAAACCAUAAGAAAGCAUUUUCCAUUCAAUUGGCCAAAAACAUGCUUUAGUGUUUGUACAUUGAAAUCCAAACUCCAUUUCCACUUUCUUAUCAAACAACCAAAGUAGAAAACGACAUUUUCCAUGGAAUUUCUUCCAAUCAAACGGACCCUUAGUUUAAUUAUAUUAGGUGCGGUGCUUCCAUGGCUACUCACAAUAGCGUGUUCAAAGACGGGGGGCUCUCAGUCUGCUAGAUGGCCAUUGAACUUGCUGAAUCCAGGUUGUGAAAAAAUUGAGGCCAAAAUUAAAGUUGAACCCUUGGUAGUUUUGUAUUCAAUUUUUUGGGAAAAUAAUUGUGAGAACUUACAACAGGGGACCAUUUAAAGCAAAGUGAAGUACAAAAGUUCCUAAAUUAGCAAUGAUACAUUUUAAUAAAUUGCUACGUUGAUUACAUGAAGGGCUUUAUGAAUUUCCGAUUGGUUGAGAUCUGCAUGAAAAGCUACAGAUAUGCUUCUAAGCAGGCGUUAUACUUUUUAUCAAAAAGUAGGCAGUGCAUAGAUGAAUAUGCCAUUGAUUGUCAUUAACCUUAGUACCUUACUGAGCAAAAUUUUCAAUUAAUUGGGUAACAUUUAUAUGAAUACUGUGUCUACCAGAAAUAUUAUCUUUCAAUUCAAUUUAAUGGUAUGUUGGGAAUCUAUUGCAUUUGUAAAGGGAUAUUGCCUUGAACUAGUUUACAUGUUGAGUUCUGUUUAGCUAAGAUACCACCAUUAGCAUCUUUUUCUUCCUUUCAUUUAUCUUGAGAUUGUUCUCCUUAUUAACAUAGUUAUCUUGUCCAAUGUAUUCAAGCAAAAACCUUCAUGCUAUGUUUUUAGUUCUUUUGAUAUUAUUUCUAUGCAGUUGAUGGAUAAAUCUGCUGCUAUUGUUGUAUAUAUGCUUUUGUUUGUUUUGCAAGAUUCAUUUACUCAUCAAAAGAAGUCAAAGGCAACAAUCUGGCUAGGAAGAGGUUAGAUCUCUGUUUCUGGUCUUAGUUUCACUUUAGUUACUUUUUCUUUUUGUGUUGAUGUCUUCUUAUUUGAUUGUUAACAUACGACUUUUGAGGCUUUCAUCAUUUUACUCGAAGAAAACAAACUCUAAUAGUAUCUGAAAUCAUUAGUAAACUAGCAAUGCUCAACCAUAUAUAUGCAUAUUAAAUUUGUUAAUGCAAUAGAGUUUUCCCAAGCUAUUGAAAUCAUUGAUUCCUUUUAUGAUUUUUGUUUGGUGAGCUAUUUGUUUAAAGAUUAAUACUUUAUUAUUAAUUUUUUAUAAAGUUUUUUAGAGUCUUAUAUACGAAUGAUUUAUGAAGAAAUUAUUUAUAGGCAUAUUGGGCUGCAUUUCUAUGAUGAGUAGAAUCAGUACUUGUACUUGAAUCUUGCUAAUGUUGAUUUACAUUGUGGAAUUAGCGAUUUCUUUUACGCCUACAAAAAUAUGCCUUUUGUUGCCUGAAUGAUUAGAGAAAGAAAUAUUGGAAUAGAAACAUAGUUAACUUGCCAAUAGCAGCUAUUUUACAAUUUUGUAUCCCAGAAAUAACAACUGGGCACUUUAGUUAUCUUCUGUAAUAGAAUUUUAUACCUUAAAAGUUUGUGUACAUGAUCAUGGAAAUUCAAGUGACCCAAUAUUUUGUAAAUGACCAAUAAAUAAACGAAUUUGAAUUCAUUGCCUUUCACUGGCUGCAAUUGAUGUGAGUGCUUCAUUUGAUAUUUGUGAUUGAUAGAUUUUGAAGAAUACUAUGAUACUAGAGGCUCCCUUGUUUAAACCUGAGCCUCCUUUGUAAGGUUUAUUCUUCCACUAUUGGUUAUUUCAUAAUUUUGUAUUUUUAUUUAUUUGAAAGUUCUUAUAAAAGUUAAGUUUGCAAGUCUUUUGCAGCAACAUUUCUAGAAUAGUUCCUUGUACUUCUACUUCUACCUUUCUAUAUAUAUACUAGUCAUCACCACGUGCAUUGCACGAGUUUUGUAUUUAUUCAAUUUCUAUUCGUGUAAAAAUUGUAGAUUUUUUGAAUUCUAGUUAAGGAAUUGGAGAUGUAAACAUUUAUGGUUGAAAAGAAGAAGAAACGCUAAUAUAUAUACAAAAAG